GACAACGAUGGAUAGGGGUUCUGAGAGGAAGGUCCCCCACAUUGGAACUGAGACACGGUCCAAACUCCUACGGGAGGCAGCAGUGAGGAAUAUUGGUCAAUGGACGAGAGUCUGAACCAGCCAAGUAGCGUGAAGGAUGACUGCCCUAUGGGUUGUAAACUUCUUUUAUAUGGGAAUAAAACGUUCCACGUGUGGGAUUUUGUAUGUACCAUAUGAAUAAGGAUCGGCUAACUCCGUGCCAGCAGCCGCGGUAAUACGGAGGAUCCGAGCGUUAUCCGGAUUUAUUGGGUUUAAAGGGAGCGUAGGUGGAUUGUUAAGUCAGUUGUGAAAGUUUGCGGCUCAACCGUAAAAUUGCAGUUGAAACUGGCAGUCUUGAGUACAGUAGAGGUGGGCGGAAUUCGUGGUGUAGCGGUGAAAUGCUUAGAUAUCACGAAGAACUCCGAUUGCGAAGGCAGUUCACUGGACUGCAACUGACACUGAGGCUCGAAAGUGUGGGUAUCAAACAGGAUUAGAUACCCUGGUAGUCCACACAGUAAACGAUGAAUACUCGCUGUUUGCGAUAUAC
RNAcentral lists this ribosomal RNA (565 nucleotides) under uncultured bacterium. Its description in RNAcentral is "bacterial SSU rRNA". It matches the Rfam family "Bacterial small subunit ribosomal RNA", at positions 272 to 834 of the family's 1533-position model. The record is from RNAcentral.